UACGUAGGGGGCAAGCGUUGUCCGGAUUUAUUGGGCGUAAAGAGCGUGUAGGCGGCCAUACAGGUCCGUUGUGAAAACUGGAGGCUUAACCUCCAGACGUCGAUGGAAACCGUAUGGCUAGAGUCCGGAAGAGGAGAGUGGAAUUCCUGGUGUAGCGGUGAAAUGCGCAGAUAUCAGGAGGAACACCGGUGGCGAAGGCGGGUCUCUGGGUAGUAACUGACGCUGAGGAACGAAAGCGUGGGUAGCGAACAGG
Molecule: ribosomal RNA, 253 nt
Filed under: uncultured bacterium
Lineage: Bacteria
Description: partial 16S ribosomal RNA
Rfam family: Bacterial small subunit ribosomal RNA
Source: RNAcentral